Molecule: ribosomal RNA, 384 nt
Filed under: uncultured Fibrobacter sp.
Lineage: Bacteria; Pseudomonadati; Fibrobacterota; Fibrobacteria; Fibrobacterales; Fibrobacteraceae
Description: partial 16S ribosomal RNA
Rfam family: Bacterial small subunit ribosomal RNA
Source: RNAcentral
AACGGCCCACCAAGGCGACGAUCGGNAGCCGGCCUGAGAGGGUGAUCGGCCACAUUGGGACUGAGAUACGGCCNNGACUCNUACGGGAGGCAGCAGUAGGGAAUAUUGNRCAAUGGGGGAAACCCUGAUGCAGCAACGCCACGUGUGGGAAGAAGCAUUUCGGUGUGUAAACCACUGUCGUNAGGGAAUAAGGCGUCUUCUCGGAGACGUUGAAUGUACCUCGAAAGGAAGCACCGGCAAACUUCGUGCCAGCAGCCGCGGUAAUACGAGGGGUGCNAGCGUUGUUCGGAAUCACUGGGCGUAAAGGGAGCGUAGGCGGAGAUGCAAGCGGACUGUACAAUACCGGGGCCCAACCCCGGGCCUGCAGUUCGGACUGCACCUCUU